AUCGCUUCUCGGCCUUUUGGCUAAGAUCAAGUGUAGUAUCAAAGUAUUCCCAGGAUUAGCUAGAAAAAGGUAUUCCUUACUUUUCACAACCUUA
RNAcentral lists this small nuclear RNA (94 nucleotides) under Panthera leo (lion). Its description in RNAcentral is "U2 spliceosomal RNA (ENSPLOG00000001122.1)". It matches the Rfam family "U2 spliceosomal RNA". Rfam says of the family: U2 is a small nuclear RNA (snRNA) component of the spliceosome (involved in pre-mRNA splicing). Complementary binding between U2 snRNA (in an area lying towards the 5' end but 3' to hairpin I) and the branchpoint sequence (BPS) of the intron results the bulging out of an unpaired adenosine, on the BPS, which initiates a nucleophilic attack at the intronic 5' splice site, thus starting the first of two transesterification reactions that mediate splicing. The record is from RNAcentral. Lineage: Eukaryota; Metazoa; Chordata; Mammalia; Carnivora; Felidae.